GACGAACGCUGGCGGCGUGCUUAACACAUGCAAGUCGAACGGUAAGGCUCCAGCUUGCUGGGGUACACGAGUGGCGAACGGGUGAGUAACACGUGGGUGACCUGCCCUGCACUUCGGGAUAAGCCUGGGAAACUGGGUCUAAUACCGGAUAGGACCGCACCGUGAGGGUGUGGUGGAAAGUUUUUUCGGUGUGGGAUGGGCCCGCGGCCUAUCAGCUUGUUGGUGGGGUAAUGGCCUACCAAGGCGGCGACGGGUAGCCGGCCUGAGGGGGUGGACGGCCACCUGGGGACGGAGAACCGCCCCAGGCCCUCACGGGGGGGAGGGGGGGGGAAUAUUGCAAAAGGGGGGGAAGCCUGAGGGAGCGACCCCGGGGGGGGGAGGGCGGCCUUGGGGUUGUAACCCCCUUUCCCCAUCGACGAAGGUUUUCUGACGGUAGGGGGAGAAGAAGCCCCGGCUAACUACGU
RNAcentral lists this ribosomal RNA (464 nucleotides) under uncultured bacterium. RNAcentral describes it as "partial 16S ribosomal RNA". It matches the Rfam family "Bacterial small subunit ribosomal RNA", at positions 28 to 506 of the family's 1533-position model. The record is from RNAcentral.